GUAAGGAACUGAGUGACUGUGACCUGGUCCAUAUUGGAACAGUGAUGACUGGGUCAGAGCAUCUCCACAACUGCAGGUCUUCUUGGGUGGUCCUGGUCUGAAAUGGUUAGUACCAACCAAAAAAUGGACCAAGGAAGGACAUUCAAAUUUGCGGA
Molecule: long non-coding RNA, 155 nt
Organism: Sphaeramia orbicularis (orbiculate cardinalfish)
Lineage: Eukaryota; Metazoa; Chordata; Actinopteri; Kurtiformes; Apogonidae
Exons: 3
Source: RefSeq, a predicted model, not a curated record